AUUGAACGCUGGCGGCAUGCUUUACACAUGCAAGUCGAACGGUAACAGGGUGCUUGCACCGCUGACGAGUGGCGAACGGGUGAGUAAUGCGUCGGAACGUGCCGAGUAGUGGGGGAUAACGCAGCGAAAGUUGUGCUAAUACCGCAUACGUACUGAGGUAGAAAGUGGGGGACCUUCGGGCCUCACGCUAUUCGAGCGGCCGACGUCUGAUUAGCUAGUAGGUGAGGUAAAGGCUCACCUAGGCGACGAUAAGUAGGGGGUCUGAGAGGAUGAUCGGCCACACUGGGACUGAGACACGGCCCAGACUCCUACGGGAGGCAGCAGUGGGGAAUUUUGGACAAUGGGCGAAAGCCUGAUCCAGCCGUGCCGCGUGUCUGAAGAAGGCCUUCGGGUUGUAAAGGACUUUUGUCAGGGAGGAAAUCCCUAGUGCUAAUAACACUGGGGGAUGACAGUACCUGAAGAAUAAGCACCGGCUAACUACGUGCCAGCCGCCGCGGUAA
This 500-nucleotide ribosomal RNA is filed under the name uncultured bacterium. Its description in RNAcentral is "partial 16S ribosomal RNA". It matches the Rfam family "Bacterial small subunit ribosomal RNA", at positions 30 to 523 of the family's 1533-position model. The record is from RNAcentral.